RNAcentral lists this ribosomal RNA (119 nucleotides) under bacterium. The record is from RNAcentral.
AGCUACGGCCAUACACACUAGAAAACGCACGAACCCGUCCGAUCUCGUCAGCUAAGCUGGUGCUGGCCCGGUCAGUACUAUGGUGGGGGACCACAUGGGAAUACCGGGUGCUGUAGUUU